Molecule: unclassified non-coding RNA, 360 nt
Filed under: uncultured Leucosporidiaceae
Lineage: Eukaryota; Fungi; Basidiomycota; Microbotryomycetes; Leucosporidiales; Leucosporidiaceae
Description: sequence contains ITS1
Rfam family: 5.8S ribosomal RNA (bases 1-105)
Source: RNAcentral
GAAAUGUGAUAAGUAAUGUGAAUUGCAGAAUUCAGUGAAUCAUCGAAUCUUUGAACGCACCUUGCGCUCCUUGGUAUUCCGAGGAGCAUGUCUGUUUGAGUGUCAUGAACUCUUCAACCCACCAGUUUCUUGUAGACUGAUUGGUGUUUGGAUUUUGAGCGUUGCUGGUCUUCUGAUCUAGCUCGCUCGUAAUAUAUUAGCAUCUCUAAUUCAAAUUUGGAUUGACUCAGUGUAAUAGACUAUUCGCUGAGGACACGCUUAUGAAGUGUGGCCGAAUUAGAUCACAGCAGAAGCUUCGAAUUCAUGUUGGUCAACUUUAGAUUAGACCUCAGAUCAGGCAGGAUUACCCGCUGAACUUAA